AGCAGGAGGUGGUGGUGGUGGUGGGAAUGGCUCUGGCUAUGGUUCAGGCUACGGAAGUGGGUCUGGAUAUGGAGGAGGAGCGGAAGAUGAUGGUGGUUACCCAUGAGCAAGAACAAGGAAGGGGUAUUUGUGCUUAGGUAGCAAUGUACUGUGUACGGCGUUCGUAUGUUGGAAUAAAAUUAUAUCGUAGCUGCUUUAUGACUUAUAUAUUCAUAAUAAUGUUUCCCUCUCGUUUUCAUGUAUUAUAUAAAUAAUAAAAGUAUCUUUUCUUUGUAAUUAAUUUUUA
RNAcentral lists this unclassified non-coding RNA (286 nucleotides) under Hevea brasiliensis (rubber tree). The record is from RNAcentral. Lineage: Eukaryota; Viridiplantae; Streptophyta; Magnoliopsida; Malpighiales; Euphorbiaceae.